GACGAACGCUGGCGGCGUGCUUAACACAUGCAAGUCGAACGCUGAAGCUUGGUGCUUGCCCUGGGUGGCUGAGUGGCUAACGGGUGAGUAAUACGUGAGUAACCUGCCCUUGACUCUGGGAUAAGCCUGGGAAACUGGGUCUAAUACUGGAUACGACAUGUCACCGCAUGGUGGUGUGUGGAAAGGGUUUUACUGGUUUUGGAUGGGCUCACGGCCUAUCAGCUUGUUGGUGGGGUAAUGGCUCACCAAGGCGACGACGGGUAGCCGGCCUGAGAGGGUGACCGGCCACACUGGGACUGAGACACGGCCCAGACUCCUACGGGAGGCAGCAGUGGGGAAUAUUGCACAAUGGGCGGAAGCCUGAUGCAGCGACGCCGCGUGAGGGAUGACGGCCUUCGGGUUGUAAACCUCUUUCAGCACGGAAGAAGCGAAAGUGACGGUACGUGCAGAAGAAGCGCCGGCUAACUACGUG
This 472-nucleotide ribosomal RNA is filed under the name uncultured bacterium. Its description in RNAcentral is "partial 16S ribosomal RNA". It matches the Rfam family "Bacterial small subunit ribosomal RNA", at positions 28 to 507 of the family's 1533-position model. The record is from RNAcentral.